CUGCUGCCUUCCGUAGGAGUCUGGUCCGUGUCUCAGUACCAGUGUGGGGGACCUUCCUCUCAGAACCCCUACGCAUCGUCGCCACGGUGGGCCGUUACCCCGCCGUCUAGCUAAUGCGCCGCAUGCCCAUCCUCUUCCGAUGAAUCUUUCCUCGAUCUCGGAUGCCCGAAACCGAUAUACGCGGGAUUAGCCUCCCUUUCGGAAGGUUGUCCCCCUGAAGAGGGCAGGUUGCAUACGCGUUACUCACCCGUGCGCCGGUCGCCGGA
This 266-nucleotide ribosomal RNA is filed under the name uncultured bacterium. RNAcentral describes it as "partial 16S ribosomal RNA". The record is from RNAcentral.